This 510-nucleotide ribosomal RNA is filed under the name uncultured bacterium. RNAcentral's name for it is "partial 16S ribosomal RNA". It matches the Rfam family "Bacterial small subunit ribosomal RNA", at positions 28 to 507 of the family's 1533-position model. The record is from RNAcentral.
GACGAACGCUGGCGGCGUGCUUAACACAUGCAAGUCGAACGAAGAGCGACGGAAGCUUGCUUCUAUCAAUCUUAGUGGCGAACGGGUGAGUAACGCGUAAUCAACCUGCCCUUCAGAGGGGGACAACAGUUGGAAACGACUGCUAAUACCGCAUACGAUCUAACCUCGGCAUCGAGGAUAGAUGAAAGGUGGCCUCUACAUGUAAGCUAUCACUGAAGGAGGGGAUUGCGUCUGAUUAGCUAGUUGGAGGGGUAACGGCCAACCAAGGCGAUGAUCAGUAGCCGGUCGGAGAGGAUGAACGGCCACAUUGGGACUGAGACACGGCCCAGACUCCUACGGGAGGCAGCAGUGGGGAAUCUUCCGCAAUGGACGAAAGUCUGACGGAGCAACGCCGCGUGAGUGAUGACGGCCUUCGGGUUGUAAAGCUCUGUUAAUCGGGACGAAAGGCCUUCUUGCGAAUAGUGAGAAGGAUUGACGGUACCGGAAUAGAAAGCCACGGCUAACUACGUG